GACGAACGCUGGCGGCGUGCUUAACACAUGCAAGUCGAACGGAAAGGCCUGCUUUCCCUUGUGGAUUGCGGGUACUCGGGUGGCGAACGGGUGAGUAACACGCGAGUGAUCUGCCCCCAACUUGGGUAUAAGCCUGGGAAACUGGGUCUAAUUCCCGAUAGGACUGCAGGGUGGUGCCUGUGGUGGAAAACGAUUUUCUAGUGGUUGGGGAUGAGCUCGCGGCCUAUCAGCUUGUUGGUGGGGUAAUGGCCUACCAAGGCGGCGACGGGUAGCCGGCCUGAGAGGGUGGACGGCCACAUUGGGACUGAGAUACGGCCCAGACUCCUACGGGAGGCAGCAGUGGGGAAUAUUGCACAAUGGGCGGAAGCCUGAUGCAGCGACGCCGCGUGGGGGAUGACGGCCUUCGGGUUGUAAACUCCUUUCGACCGCGAGGAAGCCACCUGGUUGGAAGGGUGGUGACGGUAGUGGUAGAAGAAGCACCGGCUAACUACGUG
RNAcentral lists this ribosomal RNA (494 nucleotides) under uncultured bacterium. RNAcentral describes it as "partial 16S ribosomal RNA". It matches the Rfam family "Bacterial small subunit ribosomal RNA", at positions 28 to 507 of the family's 1533-position model. The record is from RNAcentral.